Molecule: ribosomal RNA, 119 nt
Filed under: Schizosaccharomyces pombe (fission yeast)
Lineage: Eukaryota; Fungi; Ascomycota; Schizosaccharomycetes; Schizosaccharomycetales; Schizosaccharomycetaceae
Source: RNAcentral
GUCUACGGCCAUACCUAGGCGAAAACACCAGUUCCCGUCCGAUCACUGCAGUUAAGCGUCUGAGGGCCUCGUUAGUACUAUGCUUGGAGACAACAUGGGAAUCCGCGGUGCUGUAGGCU